Molecule: ribosomal RNA, 467 nt
Filed under: uncultured bacterium
Lineage: Bacteria
Description: partial 16S ribosomal RNA
Rfam family: Bacterial small subunit ribosomal RNA
Source: RNAcentral
GACGAACGCUGGCGGCGUGCUUAACACAUGCAAGUCGAACGGAAAGGCCUCUUUCGGGGGGUACUCGAGUGGCGAACGGGUGAGUAACACGUGAGUAACCUGCCCUUGACUUUGGGAUAACUUCAGGAAACUGGGGCUAAUACCGGAUAGGAGCUCCUGCUGCAUGGUGGGGGUUGGAAAGUUUCGGCGGUUGGGGAUGGACUCGCGGCUUAUCAGCUUGUUGGUGGGGUAGUGGCUUACCAAGGCGUUGACGGGUAGCCGGCCUGAGAGGGUGACCGGCCACAGUGGGACUGAGAUACGGCCCAGACUCCUACGGGAGGCAGCAGUGGGGAAUAUUGCACAAUGGGUGGGAGCCUGAUGCAGCAACGCCGUGUGCGGGAUGACGGCCUUCGGGUUGUAAACCGCUUUCGCUCAUGACGAAGCUUUGUGUGACGGUAGUGGGUAAAGAAGCACCGGCUAACUACGUG